AGGGUCUUUCGAGUUUUGUAU
This 21-nucleotide unclassified non-coding RNA is filed under the name Mus musculus (house mouse). RNAcentral's name for it is "oocyte_clustered_small_RNA1346". The record is from RNAcentral. Lineage: Eukaryota; Metazoa; Chordata; Mammalia; Rodentia; Muridae.